This 65-nucleotide transfer RNA is filed under the name Coleoptera sp. ACP-2013. Its description in RNAcentral is "tRNA-Thr". The record is from RNAcentral. Lineage: Eukaryota; Metazoa; Arthropoda; Insecta; Coleoptera.
UGUUUUAAUAAUUUAAACAAAAAUAUUGGUCUUGUAAACCAACAAUAAGCUUAGCCUUUUAAAAC